Molecule: non-coding RNA, 303 nt
Organism: Pelobates cultripes (western spadefoot toad)
Lineage: Eukaryota; Metazoa; Chordata; Amphibia; Anura; Pelobatidae
Source: the annotation of a GenBank genome assembly
AUUGGUGUUCUGCAGGACUUCCAAGUUUUCAUUGCAAUUUUAAAUGCCUCUAUUGGCGCUUUAGCUGAAAUAGCAGAGAGACCAUUUGAUUAGUGCAGUGCAGCAAUUAUCCCAAUGCUUUCCUAUGGAAUCUUGAUGAUGUCAGCCAUGGAGGUAAGUGAAACUUUUAUUUAUUUUUUUCUCCCUACAAGAAGGGGCCAGGGAUCUAGACUGGGUACUGUAGCGUUAGGAAUACACAUUUGAAUGCUUAACGAUAUAGUGCUCUUUUAAUAUGGGGUGUGUCCCCUGUUUUCUCUAAUACCA